RNAcentral lists this ribosomal RNA (181 nucleotides) under uncultured bacterium. RNAcentral describes it as "partial 16S ribosomal RNA". It matches the Rfam family "Bacterial small subunit ribosomal RNA", at positions 1320 to 1500 of the family's 1533-position model. The record is from RNAcentral.
AUGAAGCUGGAAUCGCUAGUAAUCGCGGAUCAGAAUGCCGCGGUGAAUACGUUCCCGGGUCUUGUACACACCGCCCGUCACACCAUGGGAGUCAGUAACGCCCGAAGUCAGUGACCUAACCGAGAGGGAGGAGCUGCCGAAGGCGGGACGGAUAACUGGGGUGAAGUCGUAACAAGGUAGC